GUAGUGGGUGUAACGUACCUACUAGCCUAUGACGGGUAUGGGCCUUGAGAGAGGGAGCCCAGAGUUGGAUUCUGAGACACGAAUCCAGGCCCUACGGGGCGCAGCAGUCGCGAAAACUUCACACUGGGGGCAACCCCGAUGAGGGAAUUCCUAGUGCUAGCACAUUAGUGUUAGCUUUUCUUCAGCAUAGAUAACUGGAGGAAUAAGGGCUGGGUAAGACGGGUGCCAGCCGCCGCGGUAAUACCUGCAGCCCAAGUGGUGGUCGAUAUUAUUGAGUCUAAAACGUUCGUAGCCGGUUUAAUAAAUCCUUGGGUAAAUCGGGGGGCUUAACCUUCCGAAUUCCGAGGAGACUGUUAAACUUGGGACCGGGAGAGGCAAGAGGUACUUCUGGGGUAGGGGUAAAAUCCUGUAAUCCUAGAAGGACCACCGGUGGCGAAGGCGUCUUGCUAGAACGGAUCCGACGGUGAGGGACGAAGCCCUGGGGCGCAAACGGGAUUAGAUACCCCGGUAGUCCAGGGUGUAAACGCUGCAGACUUGGUGUUUGGAGGCCCUUCGGGGGCAUUCAGUGCCGGAGAGAAGUUGUUAAGUCUGCUACUUGGGGAGUACGUCCGCAAGGAUGAAACUUAAAGGAAUUGGCGGGGGAGCACCGCAACGGGAGGAGCGUGCGGUUUAAUUGGAUUCAACACCGGAAAACUCACCAGGGGAGACUGUUACAUGAAAGCCAGGCUAAUGACUUUGCUAGAUUUUCAGAGAGGUGGUGCAUGGCCGUCGUCAGUUCGUACCGUAAGGCGUUCUCUUAAGUGAGAUAACGAACGAGACCCUCACCAAUAGUUGCUACUUUACCCUCCGGGGUGGAGGCACACUAUUGGGACCGCUGGCGCUAAGUCAGAGGAAGGAGAGGUCAACGGUAGGUCAGUAUGCCCCGAAUCUCCUGGGCUACACGCGCGCUACAAAGGGCGGGACAAUGGGCUCCGACACCGAAAGGUGAAGGCAAUCUCGAAACCCGUCCGUAGUUCGGAUUGAGGGUUGUAACUCACCCUCAUGAAGCUGGAUUCCGUAGUAAUCGCGAAUCAACAACUCGCGGUGAAUAUGCCCCUGCU
RNAcentral lists this ribosomal RNA (1100 nucleotides) under uncultured Methanomassiliicoccales archaeon. Its description in RNAcentral is "bacterial SSU rRNA". It matches the Rfam family "Archaeal small subunit ribosomal RNA", at positions 232 to 1334 of the family's 1478-position model. Lineage: Archaea; Methanobacteriati; Thermoplasmatota; Thermoplasmata; Methanomassiliicoccales. The record is from RNAcentral.